This 171-nucleotide long non-coding RNA is filed under the name Coturnix japonica (Japanese quail). RNAcentral's name for it is "lncRNA (ENSCJPG00005013236.1)". Lineage: Eukaryota; Metazoa; Chordata; Aves; Galliformes; Phasianidae. The record is from RNAcentral.
UUCUGGAAUAUACUAGUAUUUAAGACCAUCUCCUCACAACUGAAGGAGACCCUCUGAGCCUGGUCAGGAGCAUGAGGUGAGUGGUGCCACACGAGGGGACAGAUCAAAGCAUCUAUUCACAUUAUAUAUUAUAGAGUCAUGGAAUCACAGGAUCAUAGAAUCAUAGAAUCA